CCCUUUUUAAAUUGGCAACUUGAAGACCCUUCUGGCUCAUUUUUCUCAAACGAAAACUUCAUUCUCAGCACAACAAACCCUUCACUAUGUUUUGAGAAGAAAUCAAAAAAUGACGGUUAGUCGAGUUUUUCUCAAAUAAGUCCUACGCCCAUCUCAAAUUCUGUUGUUCUUCUUAACAUCUUGAGGUAAUAUUUCUCGAAUUCUGUUUUUUACAUCUCAAAAAAUGAUGGUGAACCGGCUUUGUUGUUCUUAUUUUUAUUUCUAACAUAGAUAUGGAAUGAAACCUUUAUUUAGCUUUGCACAGUUAGCUAUUUGAACUGUAAGUUUUUGAUUUGAAGUUUUUUUCUCAUCUUUGAUUCCAAUGCCAUCUUGCUCAUUGAUUUGAAUUAUUUGGACAGUAAAUAAUUUUUAGGUCUUUUAAAAAUUUUGCUCAAAUUUUUCUUUGUUUCUAAACUUUGAUUCCAUUAUUAUCUCGCUUAUAGGUUUGAAUUCUUUGAAUAGGAAAUGAUUUUUGAGUCUUUUGUAGAUUUUGCUAAAUUCGUCCCCAUUCUUCUUCAACUUUCUUGAUGUAUAUAAAAAAAGGUGCAUUUUCUUGAGUUUUUUUACAAAAGAAGAUUGAAAAUGUCAGCAAGUAUAAGCAAAGAUGAAUUGGCCAAGUCUUUAAGAAUGAGUUUUGGAUCAGCAAGUGAAAGAACCUGGACUUCAGCAGGUGUUAGGGAAGUUUUUACUACACCAGGAGGUGAUGUUUUUCAGGGAAAUGUUAGGGAAAACGACAACGAAGAUGAGCUAAAAUGGGCUGCAAUUGAGAGACUUUCAACAUAUGAAUUGCAAGGAGUUGAUGGAAAGUAUACUUAGGAUUGUGGAACAAGAUAAUGAGAAGUUUCUUCUUAGACUAAGAGAUAGGAUUGAUCGGUAAAGUAGUUUUUUCACUUUCCGUUGGUGCUGUGGUCAGUUUGUGCAAAUCUGGACUAUUUUAUCAUGUACUUGUCCAUUGAGGUUCAGACAAAUGGGAAGAAAUCAGCUAUUUAUCCUAAUGAUAUAACAUCCUUAGUGCAAGUUAUGUGUAUUUCAAUAGGAGUCUUGAUGGUUUUUCUUCUUCUGUUUUUUUGCAUGAUAUAGGGUUGGGAUUGAUAUUCCGAAAAUUGAAGUUCGAUUGUAGCAUCUUUCGAUUGAAGGAGAUGCAUAUGUUGGAUCUAGAGCACUACCUACACUGUGGAAUGCAACUAUCAUCUUUGUACUUAAGUUCUAUGUUGUUUAAUUUCGCUAUGCGAAGUGAGGUACUUGUUCUAAUUGAACUCUUUCUUUUUUGUAUGUUUAAAUGUCAUAGGGAGCUCUUGAAAUAAUCAAGAUUGUCCCAUCGAAGAAAAGGGUCGUCAAGAUACUUCGUGAUGUAAGUGGAAUAAUAAAACCAUCAAGGAUGACACUACUUCUUGGGCCUCCCGGAGGUGGAAAACAUUGCUAAAGGCGCUUGCUGCAGUGCCCGACAAAGAUGUUGCUGGAAAAAUCAGUUAUUGUGGUCAUGAACUGUCAGAGUUUAUUCCUCAACGGACAUGUGCUUAUAUUAGUCAGCAUGAUCUUCAUCAUGGAGAGAUGACAGUCAGAGAGACGUUGGAUUUUGCUUGACGUAGUUUAGGAGUUGGAACGAGAUAUGAGCUCCUCGCAGAACUGUCAAGGCGCGAAAAGGAAUUGGGAAUCAAACCAGAUCCCGAGAUAGAUGUAUUUAUGAAAGCUACCGCAGUUGCAGGCCAAGAAUCAAGUCUAGUCACCGGCUAUGGUCCUAAGAUUCUUGGGCUGGAUACCUGUGCAGAUAUAAUGGUAGGUGAUCAGAUGAGAAGAGUUUUACUGUCCAGUUUUACUGCUCAUGAUUUCUGAAACUCUGGGAUCUUGAACAUGAGCUGGAGGACUUGCACUAGGCUCUUUGACAUGUUUUGAAACUUGAUAUCAUCCAAACUCCAUUUAAAUACUGGUUCUAGUUUGCUCUAGAAAUUUUGCGCGCAGAUGGAGUUUGAAUGCUAGAAUCAUUGCAGAUUUUUUUGUUCAGUAGUGCGAAGAUUUUAUGCAAUUUUUUAUCCUGCUGUUUGUGUAUUUUUAAGCAUAUUCAGUUAAAAUUUUGGUGUUGUUUAUGUAGUUCACUGCAAACUUUGUUUGGUUCUUUAGUGCAACUUGUUUAGUCAACUAUUAGCUGUGGCUUAAUAUGUAUAUUUUGUGAAAAGUUAAUUAUUUGGUGGCUGAUUAUUUGUUGUUGUUUGGAUAAAAUGGAGGCCGUCAUAGCUACUGCUCUUUCAAGAUUAUCAGAUGAUUCGGGCACCCGAAGAUCAAGAACUCGAUAUAAAUCGCAUAUACUUUGAUGUUGCGGGUGGAGCGAAAAACACGUGUGUAUGGAUUGGGCUUUCAAGCUUAAACCUUAUAUAAAGAUAUGACAUGCAAUUUUCCUGUAGUGUCCGAUCAUGUUGUCAAAGAGCGCAUCAAAAUACUUGAGAAAGAGGUAUCGUAUAUGAGAGAAAAUCAAGAGAGAGUUCUUCAAGAGCGUGUAGAGUUGGAGGUGCAGCAACGAGUAGAGCAAGAGGUUUCCCGUUUGACGCAACAAAGUGAUGAUCGAUUCAAAUCUAUGGAGGAGCAAUGGUCUCGCAUGAUGAGCGAUAUGACAUUAUCUUCUCGCUCAUUUAGUAAUCCUACUCUCCCUAAUAGGGACUCAUCUAAUGCUUAAGUGUUUAAUAUUUUGAGACUUUAGUUACUUGAAGUGUCGACUUGAACAUUGUCACACUUUUUUGGAUAGUUGUAUGCUUUAAAUUUUAAACAUUGGUAGACUUUUGCUUAUUGAA
Molecule: long non-coding RNA, 2822 nt
Organism: Capsicum annuum
Lineage: Eukaryota; Viridiplantae; Streptophyta; Magnoliopsida; Solanales; Solanaceae
Exons: 5
Source: RefSeq, a predicted model, not a curated record